AUGAGCCACAGACUGACACGUUUGGUGACACGCGGAAAGAGAGGCAGAAAGGUGCCCAUACUUCUUCUUGAGCGCACAAAAGCUUCGCUUGACUUCCUGGUUGAAAAACGGAGGGAAGUUGGCAUACUUGAGGAGAACCCCUUUCUGUUUGCCAGGCUUAGCACAACAACCAAUCUCCGUGGGUGUGACUGCCUCAGAAGAUAUGCAGAAGAGAGCAAGGCCAAAAACCCAGAACUGCUGAGAUCAACAAGGUUGAGGAAACAUGUUGCUACCUUAUGUCAGCUUCUCGACCUCAGCAAUCAGGAACUUGAGCAAGUUGCUCGUUUUAUGGGACAUGAUAUCCGAGUCCACUGCGAGUAUUAUCGACAGACAGAUAAAACAUUCCAAGUGGCCAAGAUUGGCAAACUUCUGUUUGCGAUGGAGCAUGGAGCAGAGUCACUGAAAGGGAAGAGUCUGCAAACACUGGACUCCGUUAUCAGUGGCAAAAGACACGCAGCCACCCCAACUAAAGAUCUGAAAGGUGUCAAAAAGAGAAGGACGUCAGAUGCAGGAAUUCAACAGGAAGCUCAUGAAGAUGGACUGGUGCACCAGGAGAUAGGUGGAGGACAAAUGGAGAGAACUGCAGAAAAACAUGAUGAUGAUGCUCCAGAAAGGGUAGUGAAGAACCGAGGUAAGAGACCCUGGAAUGACCAGGAGAGGACGGCAGUCAAACGACGCCUUGCCAAGUCAAUCGCCCUUAAAAUGGUUCCAGGAAAGCAGGACUGCCUGAUGUGCAUUGCCAAAGAGUCUCCAGUCCUAAGUGCGCAGAAGUGGAAAGACGUGAAGUAUUUUGUAUACAACGAAAUUCUUAAAGUUAAAAGAAAGCUUGCAUUAUGAAUGAAUUGACUGAGUUUCCUCCCUCUGUUGUAUUUCCGUGUUUUAAAGGGUGAAUUGUCUGUUAGUUUGUUCAUUUGUUAGCACUCUAACAACUUGAACAAUAAUAAUAAAUGCUGGUUUAUUUAUUAUGUCUGCCA
Cyprinus carpio (common carp) is the source of this 1013-nucleotide long non-coding RNA. NCBI's taxonomy places the organism in Eukaryota, Metazoa, Chordata, Actinopteri, Cypriniformes, Cyprinidae. The record is from Ensembl.